UAGUCGUAGUCGCAUUAGUCGCAGCGAAGCCGUCGUAGUAGUAGUGGUAGUAGUAGUAGUAGUAGUUGUAGUAACAGUAGUAGUAGUAGUAGAGCAAACACCAGCAACAGUAAAUUGAAUCUCAACUCACAAAAAGUGGAAGCCUCAUGAUUUCAUCUUUAUUGCUAGACAUUCUUAGUUCUCAUAAUAUCUAUUUAAGUUCCAGUAAUGUCACAAGAGCAUCGUCAUUGUAGCGCAUUUGGUUGUCUUUGACACUCAGUUUGGCGAGAAUCCCUUCGCUUGAUAUCCAUUUAUCGAGAAACUCACAAGGGGGAAUGAGGAGCUUUGGAAUUUAACCGUCCUGCGCUUGGUGUAUUGGGUUGAGGUAUCGAGUCAGGACUUGAUGAUUCGUAAUCGUGUCGCAGGCCUGCAGAAGACGUCUUGUGUAAACGAGUGAUACUUCACCUCUGUAACAUUGAUUAGGAACGUUAAGGAUAUUUUAGUUACAAAAUAAAUAAAAUUUCUUUUCACAUUGUUUAUGUAGAAGCGAGAUGUUGUAUUGACCAUCUCGAAGUGUUAUGAAGCAUUAGACUGAAUCAUCUGGAGCACCGCCGCUCUCGCUUCCUUAGAAUCGUGCUGCAUCAGCCGCCGUGUGGACUGUAUGUCCGCGAGUCCUGACUAUCGUUUGUGGGCGAGCCGCGAAUACGCCCCUGACGGACGCAUCCCACCGAGGCCCUGCAGGUUCUGAAACUAAGAGUGACGUGAAUGCCUCUUGCUACCCCAUAAGGGUGAUGAAAGUGGUGGCGGCGGCGGUCACGUGGCGCUUCCUGUUGUGGCCGAGACGGAAUAUUGCAUGGACAGCGUAUCUGGAAAGGGAAGAGGGAGAGGAGGAAAGUGAGAGAAGAGAGCCAUGGGUGCAGGUCAACACUCACAAUUAAGGAGAGUGAGGGAGCCACGGCAUCACUUCAGGCAGGCAUUAGCGGCGCGGCGCAUUAUGAGGCUAAUACAGCUCUUUACAACUACUGCAACUACAGACCACCACCACCGCCGCCGUCGCCGUCGCCUCCACCACCACCACCACCACCACCACCACCACCACCACCACCAUUACCGUUACCACCACAUCCACAACCACUCCACGGCCUCGUUUCCGACCACCUCCUGUGUUCCUGCCAAACUUCACGAGUGGGUUAAUUUCCAUGCUGGAGUUUAAACAUUUUUCUUGGCCUAGUUUUCGAGCGCUCCGUUUUUCCGCUCCCCUGCACGUUGGCCGCUGCAGGAGUGCCUUAAUUGCUUCUGGGACGGCUCAGGUGUAGAGGAAGUGUAGGUGAAGUAAUAGAUCGUACCUUUUUUCAUAUCUACUUUGUCUAGUGAUGUCGAAGGUAAUGUUGUACUGUGCUUGAGGUGUUUUAAGUGUUUGUGUAAGGUGAUUCAGAGUGAGAGGGGGGCGGGGGAAGGAGAGCGAAUAUAUGAGAAAAAUGUAAAAUUGCCAGAGAAAAACAGUUUACGACAAAAAAAAUAAAGUACUUAGAUGGCAAAAGGAUAAAAAUCUCAGAGAGAGAGAGAGAGAGAGAGAGAGAGAGAGAGAGAGAGAGAGAGAGAGAGGAUGGGGGGAAGCAGUAUAAAACACCCUGGGAAAACUCAUUCAAUUCUAAGCCCAAAUAACCGCAUCGUCAUUCUAAACUAUCUAACCACUGCCACCCUUUUUCUCUCUUCCUACAUUUGUACUUUCCUCACCCCUCUUAUUCACCUCAACCAAACUCUUUGCUUCCUUCUUUUCUCCCAAACUUCUGUGCCCCUCCCCAUCAAGUAAGGCCUUAAAUGCAUUCUACGUGUAUCAGCGGGCAAAGAUUUUAUUCGCUUGGGGAGAAUGACCAAAACAAAGACCUAUAUUGCUCCCGAAGGCGUGACACAGAGGCUGACCUAACCUAAUCUGACUUAACCUAACCUAACCUAACUCUCCGUCACGAGGCAACAUAUUCACCGGAGAGGAUUUCUGUGGCGCAAAAUGUAUACCAAAAGAAUCGUGACGUUAAUCGUUUAUGUAGAAAAUGCGCCGUGUGUUUUGUUUCAUAUUUGCGUCGCAUAUGUCACCGUCUCCGUAACUGUGAACUGGAGAGAUGCGGCAGUGCGUGUUUCUAUCUUAGGGGGAGACUCAGGUGUGGCAGAAGACAAAAGAGGAAAUAGUUCUCCCUUUUUUCAGCUUUUCACUCCCCGAUUGGAUACAACCUAUAUGGGAAACUGAACAAUAUAUUUCUCUCUCUCUCUCUCUCUCUCUCUCUCUCUCUCUCUCUCUCUCUCUCUCUCUCUCUCUCUCUCUCUCUCUCUCUCGUAAGCUUUUUGUCACGUAUUAAAAUAUUUCCAUGGGUAAUUUUUGGGGCAAUUUUUCUCUCUCGAUUUCUUCGUUUGCUGGCCUUUGUAUUGCGGCAGUUUCAGUUUUGUUUGUUCUGGUUCGCCGUCAUUUCGAUGCUUUCUGUCCGCCGCUAAGUUUGAAGUGAAUUGUUUCUUGUGUGCAUUCACCUGACAAAGAAAAAGGAUAGGGAAAGGGAUGGAAAACAGAACAGAAUGUGUAUUGUUAUGAUA
Molecule: RNA transcript, 2562 nt
Organism: Scylla paramamosain (green mud crab)
Lineage: Eukaryota; Metazoa; Arthropoda; Malacostraca; Decapoda; Portunidae
Exons: 5
Source: RefSeq, a predicted model, not a curated record